UCUGUGAUAUUAUUAUCAAACUAACUCAAACACGCUAUUCAUCAAUGGCAGAAUUCGAAAUGUGUGACACCGAAACCUUUGCAUUCCAGGCUGAGAUCAACCAACUUCUCAGUCUCAUCAUCAACACUUUUUACAGCAACAAAGAGAUUUUCCUUCGUGAGCUCAUCAGCAAUGCCUCCGACGCUUUGGAUAAAAUUCGAUUUGAAAGCUUAACGGACAAGAGCAAGCUCGAUGCUCAGCCAGAGCUUUUCAUCAGACUUGUUCCUGAUAAGGCUAACAAAACACUAUCAAUCAUUGAUAGUGGCAUUGGCAUGACUAAAGCAGAUUUGGUCAACAAUUUGGGUACAAUUGCGAGGUCUGGUACAAAGGAAUUCAUGGAGGCAUUGCAAGCUGGGGCUGAUGUUAGCAUGAUUGGUCAAUUUGGUGUUGGUUUUUACUCUGCUUAUCUUGUUGCGGAGAAAGUUAUUGUUACUACUAAGCACAAUGAUGAUGAACAAUACAUUUGGGAAUCACAAGCUGGUGGAUCUUUCACUGUUACUAGGGAUGUUAAUGGUGAACAACUUGGUAGAGGAACUAAGAUUACCUUGUUCCUCAAGGAAGAUCAGUUGGAGUAUUUAGAAGAGAGAAGGAUUAAGGAUCUUGUGAAGAAACAUUCUGAGUUCAUUAGCUACCCAAUCUACCUCUGGACUGAGAAGACAACUGAGAAAGAGAUUAGUGAUGAUGAGGAUGAUGAACCCAAGAAGGAAGAGGAAGGAGAUGUUGAGGAUGUAGAUGAAGGGAAGGAGAAAGAUUCAAAGAAGAAAAAGAAGAUUAAGGAGGUUUCUCAUGAGUGGCAACAAAUCAACAAACAGAAACCAAUUUGGUUGCGUAAGCCAGAAGAGAUUACAAAGGAUGAGUAUGCUUCAUUCUACAAGAGCAUUACUAAUGAUUGGGAAGAACACUUGGCUGUUAAGCACUUUUCUGUGGAGGGUCAACUUGAGUUCAAAGCUAUUAUCUUUGUUCCCAAACGGGCACCGUUUGAUUUGUUUGACACUAGGAAGAAGAUGAACAAUAUAAAGCUGUAUGUGAGGAGGGUUUUCAUUAUGGACAACUGUGAAGAGCUCAUUCCUGAGUACCUUGGAUUUGUCAAGGGUGUAGUUGACUCUGAUGAUUUGCCACUCAACAUCUCUCGUGAGAUGCUGCAGCAGAAUAAGAUUUUGAAGGUGAUUAGGAAGAACCUUGUGAAGAAGUGCAUUGAGAUGUUCAAUGAGAUUGCUGAAAAUAAGGAAGAUUACAACAAAUUCUAUGAUGCUUUCUCCAAGAAUUUGAAAUUGGGUAUCCAUGAGGAUAGUCAGAACAGAGCUAAAUUAGCUGAUUUGCUCAGAUACCACUCUACAAAAAGUGGAGAUGAGAUGACAAGUUUGAAGGACUAUGUUACCAGAAUGAAGGAGGGUCAAAAGGAUAUUUACUAUAUCACUGGUGAGAGUAAGAAGGCUGUGGAGAAUUCUCCAUUCCUGGAGAAACUUAAGAAGAAGGGCUAUGAGGUGCUUUUCAUGGUGGAUGCUAUUGAUGAGUAUGCUGUUGGCCAACUGAAGGAGUAUGAUGGAAAGAAAUUGGUAUCUGCUACAAAGGAAGGGUUGAAGUUGGAUGAGGAAAGUGAGGAAGAGAAAAAGAAGAGAGAGGAGAAGAAGAAAUCGUUUGAGGAUCUGUGCAGGACAAUGAAGGAGGUAUUGGAGACAAAGUUGAAAAGGUAGUUGUCUCUGAUAGGAUUGUGGAUUCUCCAUGCUGUUUGGUGACUGGUGAAUAUGGAUGGAGUGCAAACAUGGAAAGGAUCAUGAAGGCUCAAGCACUGAGAGAUAGCAGCAUGAGUGGUUACAUGUCUAGCAAGAAGACAAUGGAGAUCAACCCUGACAAUGGCAUUAUGGAGGAGCUGAGAAAGAGGGCUGAAGCUGAUAAGAAUGAUAAGUCUGUGAAGGACCUUGUGUUGCUUCUCUUUGAGACAGCACUCUUAACUUCUGGAUUUAGCCUGGAUGAUCCAAACAUGUUUGCUGGUAGAAUUCACAGAAUGUUGAAGCUGGGUCUCAGCAUUGAUGAGGAAGAGACUGGUGGAGAUGAAGACAUGCCUCCAAUGGAGGAGGAAGUAGGCGCUGAAGAGAGCAAGAUGGAGGAGGUUGAUUAAGGAGUCACCACUCACCAAUGGUCUUUAUGUUUGUGUCAGUUGUUUAUUGCAGGAAAAAACUGUCUUUGGCAUGUUAUCAAGUGGUAUCAAAUGUGCUUUUGGUGUGCAUCACCUAAUUUUGUAGUAUAAAUAAAUUUUGACUUUCUUAUUUCUUUUUAUUAGCAAACAAAUUAGAAAUUUGUUGGGAUGGUAGG
Molecule: RNA transcript, 2352 nt
Organism: Medicago truncatula (barrel medic)
Lineage: Eukaryota; Viridiplantae; Streptophyta; Magnoliopsida; Fabales; Fabaceae
Gene name: heat shock protein 83-like
Exons: 5
Source: RefSeq, a predicted model, not a curated record